UCCCUGGAGGUCUAGUGGUUAUGCCACAGCGCUCUCACCGCUGCGGCCCGGGUUCAAUUCCUGGCCAGGGAA
Molecule: transfer RNA, 72 nt
Filed under: Pangasianodon hypophthalmus (striped catfish)
Lineage: Eukaryota; Metazoa; Chordata; Actinopteri; Siluriformes; Pangasiidae
Rfam family: tRNA
About the family: Transfer RNA (tRNA) molecules are approximately 80 nucleotides in length. Their secondary structure includes four short double-helical elements and three loops (D, anti-codon, and T loops).
Source: Rfam by way of RNAcentral